This 76-nucleotide transfer RNA is filed under the name Pseudomonadota bacterium. RNAcentral describes it as "tRNA-Ala". It matches the Rfam family "tRNA". Rfam says of the family: Transfer RNA (tRNA) molecules are approximately 80 nucleotides in length. Lineage: Bacteria; Pseudomonadati; Pseudomonadota. The record is from RNAcentral. RNAcentral also lists the same sequence under 3 other names.
GGGGCCAUAGCUCAGCUGGGAGAGCGCCUGCCUUGCACGCAGGAGGUCAUCGGUUCGAUCCCGAUUGGCUCCACCA